AUACCACCCUGAAUAUGCCUGAUCUCUUCUGAUCUCAGAAGCUAAGCAGGGUCAGGCCUGGUUAGUACUUGGAAGGGAGA
This 80-nucleotide ribosomal RNA is filed under the name Ailuropoda melanoleuca (giant panda). Lineage: Eukaryota; Metazoa; Chordata; Mammalia; Carnivora; Ursidae. The record is from RNAcentral.